UGAUAGCCCUGCGAAAGUAGGAUUAAUACACCGUAAGAUACAGCGCAGGCAUCUGCUUUGUAUUAUAGACUGCAAGGUCGGUUUUGGUAUGGGCGUGCGCCUGAUUAGGUAGUUGGUGUGGGUAACGGCCCACCCAAGCCUUCGAUCAGUAACUGGUGUGAGAGCACGACCAGUCACACGGGCACUGAGACACGGGCCCG
Molecule: ribosomal RNA, 200 nt
Filed under: uncultured bacterium
Lineage: Bacteria
Description: partial 16S ribosomal RNA
Rfam family: Bacterial small subunit ribosomal RNA
Source: RNAcentral